GGAGUUAGUGGCAGACGGGUGAGUAACGCGUGGGAACCUACCUUUAGGUACGGAACAACAGUUGGGAACGACUGCUAAUACCGUAUGUGCCCUAUGGGGGAAAGAUUUAUCGCCUAAGGAUGGGCCCGCGUUGGAUUAGCUAGUUGGUGGGGUAAAGGCCUACCAAGGCGACGAUCCAUAGCUGGUCUGAGAGGAUGAUCAGCCACACUGGGACUGAGACACGGCCCAGACUCCUACGGGAGGCAGCAGUGGGGAAUAUUGGACAAUGGGCGCAAGCCUGAUCCAGCCAUGCCGCGUGAGUGAUGAAGGCCCUAGGGUUGUAAAGCUCUUUCAGCGAGGAGGAUAAUGACGUUACUCGCAGAAGAAGCCCCGGCUAACUUCGUGCCAGCAGCCGCGGUAAUACGAAGGGGGCUAGCGUUGUUCGGAAUCACUGGGCGUAAAGCGCACGUAGGCGGACUUUUAAGUCAGGGGUGAAAUCCCGGGGCUCAACCCCGGAACUGCCUUUGAUACUGGAAGUCUUGAGUCCGAGAGAGGUGAGUGGAACUCCGAGUGUAGAGGUGAAAUUCGUAGAUAUUCGGAAGAACACCAGUGGCGAAGGCGGCUCACUGGCUCGGUACUGACGCUGAGGUGCGAAAGCGUGGGGAGCAAA
Molecule: ribosomal RNA, 649 nt
Filed under: uncultured marine bacterium
Lineage: Bacteria
Description: bacterial SSU rRNA
Rfam family: Bacterial small subunit ribosomal RNA
Source: RNAcentral